This 238-nucleotide ribosomal RNA is filed under the name uncultured bacterium. RNAcentral describes it as "partial 16S ribosomal RNA". It matches the Rfam family "Bacterial small subunit ribosomal RNA", at positions 524 to 761 of the family's 1533-position model. The record is from RNAcentral.
UACGAAGGGGGCUAGCGUUGCUCGGAAUUACUGGGCGUAAAGCGCACGUAGGCGGCUUUCUAAGUCGGGGGUGGAAAUCCUGGAGCUCAACUCCAGAACUGCCUUCGAUACUGGAGCGUUGAGUUCCGGGAGAGGUGAGUGGAACUGCGAGUGUAGAGGUGAAAUUCGUAGAUAUUCGCAAGAACACCAGUGGCGAAGGCGGCUCACUGGCCCGGUAUGACGCUGAGGUGCGAAAAGC